RNAcentral lists this ribosomal RNA (1495 nucleotides) under Pyrobaculum neutrophilum V24Sta. Its description in RNAcentral is "bacterial SSU rRNA". It matches the Rfam family "Archaeal small subunit ribosomal RNA". The record is from RNAcentral. Lineage: Archaea; Thermoproteati; Thermoproteota; Thermoprotei; Thermoproteales; Thermoproteaceae.
ACCGGUUGAUCCUGCCGGACCCGACCGCUAUCGGGGUAGGGCUAAGCCAUGCGAGUCGCGCGCCCGGGGGCGCCCGGGAGCGGCGCACGGCUCAGUAACACGUGCCCAACCUACCCUCGGGAGGGGGACACCCCCGGGAAACUGGGGCCAAUCCCCCAUAGGGGAGGGGCGCUGGAAGGCCCCCUCCCCCAAAGGGAUGGCGGCCGAUCCGCCGCCAUCCGCCCGAGGAUGGGGGCACGGCCCAUCAGGUAGUUGGCGGGUUAAAGGCCCGCCAAGCCGAAGACGGGUAGGGGCGGUGAGAGCCGCGAGCCCCGAGAUCGGCACUGAGACAAGGGCCGAGGCCCUACGGGGUGCAGCAGGCGCGAAUACUCCGCAAUGCGGGCAACCGCGACGGGGCUACCCCGAGUGCCGGGCGAAGAGCCCGGCUUUUGCCCGGUCUAAAAAGCCGGGAGAAUAAGCGGGGGGCAAGUCUGGUGUCAGCCGCCGCGGUAAUACCAGCUCCGCGAGUGGUCGGGGUGUUUACUGGGCUUAAAGCGCCCGUAGCCGGCCCGGCAAGUCGCUCCUGAAAUCCCAGGGCCCAACCCUGGGGCGGGGGGCGAUACUGCCGGGCUAGGGGGCGGGAGAGGCCGCCGGUACUCCGGGGGUAGGGGCGAAAUCCGUUAAUCCCCGGAGGACCACCAGUGGCGAAAGCGGGCGGCCAGAACGCGCCCGACGGUGAGGGGCGAAAGCCGGGGGAGCAAAGGGGAUUAGAUACCCCUGUAGUCCCGGCCGUAAACGAUGCGGGCUAGCUGUCGGCCGGGCUUAGGGCCCGGCCGGUGGCGAAGGGAAACCGUUAAGCCCGCCGCCUGGGGAGUACGGCCGCAAGGCUGAAACUUAAAGGAAUUGGCGGGGGGGCACCACAAGGGGUGAAGCUUGCGGCUUAAUUGGAGUCAACGCCGGAAACCUCACCCGGGGCGACAGCAGGAUGAAGGCCAGGCUAACGACCUUGCCGGACGAGCUGAGAGGAGGUGCAUGGCCGUCGUCAGCUCGUGCCGUGAGGUGUCCGGUUAAGUCCGGCAACGAGCGAGACCCCCACCCCUAGUUGCUACCCCGUCCUACGGGACGGGGGGCACACUAGGGGGACUGCCGGCGUAAGCCGGAGGAAGGAGGGGGCCACGGCAGGUCAGUAUGCCGGGAGACCCCGGGGCUGCACGCGAGCUGCAAUGGCGGGGACAGCGGGAUCCGACCCCGAAAGGGGGAGGCAAUCCCGUAAACCCCGCCCCAGUAGGGAUCGAGGGCUGCAACUCGCCCUCGUGAACGUGGAAUCCCUAGUAACCGCGUGUCACCAACGCGCGGUGAAUACGUCCCUGCCCCUUGCACACACCGCCCGUCGCACCACCCGAGGGAGCCCUCUGCGAGGCCCCUUGCCGACGAGGUGGGGGGACGAGCAGGGGGCUCCCAAGGGGGGUGAAGUCGUAACAAGGUAGCCGUAGGGGAACCUGCGGCUGGAUCACCU